UACGUAGGGUCCGAGCGUUGUCCGGAAUUAUUGGGCGUAAAGGGCUCGUAGGCGGUUCGUCACGUCGGGAGUGAAAACUCGGAGCUUAACUCCGAGCCUGCUUCCGAUACGGGCAGACUAGAGGUAGGCAGGGGAGAGCGGAACUCCUGGUGUAGCGGUGGAAUGCGCAGAUAUCAGGAAGAACACCGGUGGCGAAGGCGGGUCUCUGGGCCAUUACUGACGCUGAGGAGCGAAAGCGUGGGGAGCGAACAGG
Molecule: ribosomal RNA, 253 nt
Filed under: uncultured bacterium
Lineage: Bacteria
Description: partial 16S ribosomal RNA
Rfam family: Bacterial small subunit ribosomal RNA
Source: RNAcentral